ACAGAUCGAUGACAUCAGUUUAUUUAAUUGGGGAAAUUGGUCAUGGCACUUGAGUCAAGACACCACUGUACACGACUAAGUUCUAUGUUCAUGCAGCACAUUGUGAACAAACGUAGAGCGUCAUUUGAGAAUUUGAAAAGCUGAGAUACAUUGCCCUGCUUCAAUCCGGUGAUACCACUAAUGGCUCCUAAGCAGCUCCAUGAAAUCAAGCAGCUGUCAUGUCGAUGCAUCAGCGGCGUGAGGAGGGAACACCAUCCCCAUAAGGACAGGGGGGUCUCUGUGCCUUCAUGUUUGGCUAAACAUCUGCUUCUCGGCACUAUGUCUUUGCAGCAAUAAAUGGCCAAACAAAAGAGGUGGGAGGUGAAAUGAUCACAUUUUCCAUUUCAAAGCAUUUGCUUGUUUGGUUUGGGUUUUCCUUUCCUGUCCCCUUUGGACAUUGAUCUUAAGUUUGGCUCCACUGACUCAAUGUGUGCAACAACAUGGAACAGCUGAAAAUAAGAGAUAGAAGUGUGUUUUUUGGACCUGUGAGCUCCCCAAGUUUAACUCCAGACUAAAAAAGUGUGCAGCAAUAACUACAAUAAGAGAUAAAAGGAUGCUAUGAUGAUUAAUGGAGUCUCUUUUUAGAAUCUGAAGCAUAGCUCAACAUGGAUUACAACAGACAAGAGAUACACUCUUUCCCCAAUCAAUGUACUUUUAUGUUAACAAGCUUAUAUUAAUUAAAAGACAGUUCAUUUCAGAUUAAUUCGUGCUAUUUGGACAGAAUUGACACUGACAAUUCUCCCCUUAAUAAGAUUCAUAGUAAUUAACAUCCUUCCUUGUUUCCCUUCCUCCCCCUCUUUCAAGUCCCAUUUUGCUUCAUUCAAAGAUCAACAAAGCACUACGUACUGUGGUUCAACUUGAAUUCACAUUUUCACAAACCAUAAAUAAUACACACUUGUGUGUGAAGGGGCAGUUGAUCCCUGGUUUCAACUAUUUCAUAUCCACCUGCUUAUCGAAAAUGACGAGCUAUGUCGCCUUCUGGAAGCACCGACGUCUUGUCCACUCACGGCUAACUCAACCGCUCAUUACAUUCGCUUCCAUAAACGUCAAAGACAAACUCCUCAAUAUACCCCCGUGUGCUCCCCCGUCACCGACACCCGUUUUGUGAUGUUUUUUAGGUCUAAAACUUUGUUUCUAAAACUUGGGAAGACAACGUGGAUGUAUGUGAAGCAUUGACCAGAGGAAAGGAGCUGGGAGAUUUUGGCGUCCAGGGUGGGCUGAGUCCAACAGAAUUUCGGCCACUCUUCUUUAUUGCAGCAUGCAAAUCCUCAAGAGUAGGUUGACGACUUACAGAUCAUACAUCUGAGAAUGUAGGAGAUGGGGCGGAGCUGUAGUUCCUCCAUCAAAAUCCUCCCCAUCUGCCUAUGUAGCCUCUGGCCCCCCUGCUGUAUUUCUCCAUCGACUCUCGUCGCAGUGCUGACAGGUCGUGAGGAAUGACAGUGUUUGUCAUACAGUAGCAGCAAGAAGCAAGGAUUUUUUAAUUGCACUGGAGAAUCUUCAUUAUGGCGAGUGCGUGGGGGCGGGCAGCAUAGGAGUGCGUGUGUGUGUGUGUGUGUGUGUGUGUGUGUGUG
Long non-coding RNA from Hippocampus comes (tiger tail seahorse), 1610 nucleotides. RefSeq lists it as uncharacterized. NCBI's taxonomy places the organism in Eukaryota, Metazoa, Chordata, Actinopteri, Syngnathiformes, Syngnathidae. The transcript has 3 exons. The record is from RefSeq and is a predicted model, not a curated record.